Molecule: long non-coding RNA, 428 nt
Organism: Eucalyptus grandis
Lineage: Eukaryota; Viridiplantae; Streptophyta; Magnoliopsida; Myrtales; Myrtaceae
Exons: 3
Source: RefSeq, a predicted model, not a curated record
UGAAUAUCUUACCCAAUUUUGCAUUCUUCAUUUACUUUCUUGCUGAAAGACUCUAACCAGGAGAGCAAGUGAUGGCGCAACCAACUGAAAUACAAGGAAAUUCGAAUCAAGCAGAACCACCGACAGUGAAAGAAAAGAGAAAAAAUAAUCAGUAUGGAAAGGAUUUUUGUGCUCACUCUGCCUCCUGCAUUUAUUGAAGAUGUUCGAGUACGGCGUUGGAUCAGUUCAUUCUCUAAUCAGAGGCGGUUCGGAUACUUCAUCUCAAUACAGCAUAGAAGAAUACGUUGAGCGGGUUGCAGAAGUUGGGCAUGGGACUAAGGGCAGGCCUCUAGCGUCAUUGACUCUGAAAUAAGGUUGCAAUAUAUGAUCGCAUGGGUUUAUCAUUUAAUCGCAUUAAACAUAGUAAUUUACACUUUUAUUUGGCAAUA